AGCUCAUUUUGGUUGUCGAAGCAGCUGGCGCCCACUCUGUUGAUUGAUCUGCUAACCCAGUACGGCGGUUCGAAUCCGCCCGUCACCCCCA
This 91-nucleotide transfer RNA is filed under the name Bacteroidota bacterium. Its description in RNAcentral is "tRNA-OTHER". Lineage: Bacteria; Pseudomonadati; Bacteroidota. The record is from RNAcentral.